AAUAAAAAUAACAUAAAAAGGGAUUAGGGUAAAGUUAAAGGUGACGAUUCACCUUCUUUGAACGAGUCCUCCUCUCCUUCACGAUGAGCUCAUUGGCGGCGCCGGAACUCCCUCUUCUCCGACGAAAGAACUUGUAGCGCCACCGCGAAGCCGUGACAACCUUCGCGUCUUUGACAUCUCCGUCUCAAGCUCUCCGUAUCAUACGCUCGAUUCUCACUUUCUCGGCCCUCGAGUCUCCUUCUCAACACAAUCUAACAACGAUCCCCGCGACACGAUAACACCAAGAACGCGCAAUAAUCUGAAACUGGAUUAUACGGCUCACCGAUCGGAGACAAGUCCGAAGAUCUUCGAUUAUGAAUGCGACGACGAGAAAUCCAGAAUCCAACGACGCGGUGACGAUGAAGUCGGAAGCGCCGUGGUGAUGAUGAUAUUGGUGCGUAAGUUGAUUGAAGAUGAAGAUAAUGCGAUAAGGAUUGUUGCCGGUAGCGAGAAAUCCAAGUAAGCGCCCUUCAAUCUUUUGCUCUUGUUUCCUAAUUCUUGCUUCUUCUUCUACUCUUCUUCGUUGUUCUUCUGCAGGUUGAUGAUGGAAGAUGAGUGCGAUGAUGAAGAUUAAAGAGGAAGCUUGAAGAGGAUGAGGAAUGAAGGUUGAUGAAGAUUCAGAGAAAGCGAUUGAAGCGAUUUCUUAUUCUGAGAAUUGAAGGAGAGGGAGAAUGUUGAAUGAAGAUGAGAGGAGUGAUGAGAGAACGGAUCGAGGGAGCUUUGUGAAGAGUGGCUGCAGAUUUAUAUGAUUCUCAGGGAUGCUGUGUUUAGGGAGAUAGUACAAUGAGGGAUGAACUAUAUGAAUCUUGGAAUCGUGGCGGAAUUUCAGAUUAGGAAGAUGAAGAUUGGAUCCUAGUUUUAGUGUAGAUUUUAUGUAGAUUGGUAUGGAUGUAAUGGAUAUAUUUUUGAACUGGAUGUUGUGAUGAAAUGAGAUGCGAGGAUACUUUUGUAAUGAAGUUUGGAAAUGUAAAGUGUAGUGUGAAGAACUCUUGUAUUUUUGUAAUUUUCAGUAGAAUAUGCAAUGUAGCUUUUGGUUCUUGUCAUGUAGGUGGAUCUUGAGUGGUAAUAUGAUUUUGUAGUUUUGAAUGGAAUUUGGAUGAUGUAAUUUUCUUUGGACAUGAAUACUUCCUUUAGACACACGUGAUGCAGGUUUGAUUUUGUAGGUUGACAACGUGGUGAUGAGUUUGGCAAGCUUGAAGAUGAGGCAAAAAUAGAAACAAGGCUCGGCUGCAAGAACAAGUUUAGGAUAGCCUUUUGUGUUUACAUGGUGUAAUAGUUC
Molecule: long non-coding RNA, 1318 nt
Organism: Vicia villosa (hairy vetch)
Lineage: Eukaryota; Viridiplantae; Streptophyta; Magnoliopsida; Fabales; Fabaceae
Exons: 3
Source: RefSeq, a predicted model, not a curated record